ACGGAAUCCACCACCCCUCUCUUCAAGAGCACCAGACUUGGGGCAAUCUCUAGCCAGAUGACCGGAUAUAUUACAUAAAUUGCACACAGGAUCAUUUUGACAAUCACGUGCCAAGUGACCAGUCUUCCUACAAUUUUUGCACGCCUUGUCAUUGGUGCAGUCAACUGCAAUGUGGCCUUGCUUGAAGCAGUUAUUGCAAAGCUUCAGGUCACCAGGAGGGAGUGGAGGAGCCGUGCAGUCUCUAGCACGAUGUCCUGCCUUACCACAGGUGUGGCAAAUUCCUUCAUUUGGACAGUUGCCAGCCAUAUGGCCUGGUUCUCGGCAAUUCCAACAAAGAGAUUUCGUGGUACACUCCGAGGCAAUAUGCCCUGGGAGACCACAAUUGUGACAUAUGGCAACAUUAGGGCAUUCCCGAGCAAAAUGGCCAGGCCGUUUGCAGUUCUUGCAGAGACUGCUCUGACUCUGACUGCUGAAACCCCGACGUGGCUCCCGUCUAUAUGGUGCAUCACGGUAGGAGAACCGCUGUGUGCGGAUUUUGCGAUCCAUUGGACUCCUGCUUCUGCUUCUGCUCCUGCUUCGGCUUCUGCUGCCAGAUUUCAUAUUCAAACAACCACAAAUAAACCACCAACAACGACCAGCUAAAAUAUCACCACACCACAACCCAGCUGCUGCCUCCUCCCUGAAACAGCGUUCUGGAUCUGCACAGUUAGGGUUAGAUUUUGGGAUACUGCAACACACAGAAAACAGAGAGAGAGAAAUAGAGAAGCAAUAGAUAAG
RNAcentral lists this unclassified non-coding RNA (777 nucleotides) under Hevea brasiliensis (rubber tree). The record is from RNAcentral. Lineage: Eukaryota; Viridiplantae; Streptophyta; Magnoliopsida; Malpighiales; Euphorbiaceae.